AGCUCCAAUAGCGUAUAUUAAAGUUGUUGCAGUUAAAAAGCUCGUAGUUGGAUUUCUGGUGGGGACGUUUGGCCGGCCGUAACGGUUUGCGCUGAAAUGUUCUUCGCCAUCCUUGACGAAUACUGGUUCGCCAUUAAGUUGUGUGGGCUUGGAGUCGUCAUCGUUUACUGUGAAAAAAUUAGAGUGUUCAAAGCAGGCUUAUGCCGUUGAAUACAUUAGCAUGGAAUAAUAAGAUAGGACCCUGGUACUAUUUUGUUGGUUUGCGUACCUAGGUAAUGAUUAAUAGGGACAGUUGGGGGUAUUUGUAUUCCGUUGUCAGAGGUGAAAUUCUUGGAUUUACGGAAGACAAACUACUGCGAAAGCAUUUACCAAGGAUGUUUUCA
Molecule: ribosomal RNA, 383 nt
Filed under: uncultured eukaryote
Lineage: Eukaryota
Description: SSU rRNA
Rfam family: Eukaryotic small subunit ribosomal RNA
Source: RNAcentral